Molecule: ribosomal RNA, 351 nt
Filed under: uncultured bacterium
Lineage: Bacteria
Description: partial 16S ribosomal RNA
Rfam family: Bacterial small subunit ribosomal RNA
Source: RNAcentral
CCUACGGGCGGCAGCAGUAGGGAAUAUUGCGCAAUGGGCGAAAGCCUGACGCAGCAACGCCGCGUGAACGAGACGGGCUUCGGGGUGUAAAGUUCUGUUAGUGGGGACGAAAAAUGACGGUACCCACAGAGGAAGCACCGGCUAACUCCGUGCCAGCAGCCGCGGUAAUACGGAGGGUGCAAGCGUUGUCCGGAAUCAUUGGGCGGAAAGAGGUCGUAGGCGGCACGGAAAGUAAGGUGGUAAAGGCGCAGGCUCAACCUGUGUAUGGUACUUGAUACUUGAAAGCUGGGAUGCGGUAGAGGUGAAGGGAAUUCCUGGUGUAGCGGUGAAAUGCUUAGAGAUCAGGAGGAA